CCAGUGUCUUAAGAUAGGUACCAAAACGAAUUCAUUUGGUGGGUACCAUGACAUAUUUGGUUCAUGGGUGGGUACCCAGAUUAUAAGGGGCCUCCACUCAAACCAAAAGUUGGAGGGUGGGGUCUUCACACGCAUUUCGGUAGUUUUGAAGAUGGUAAUUGAUACUCCUUGUGAGAGUAAAAUGUAAUAAUCACAGCUGAAAAAUACGGUGCAUACAUACAUAAUUCCUACCUAUAAAUUGUAUUCAAUUCAACUAGCAUGGAUCAUGAUUUCCAUACCACGAUAAUAUUCGGCCAAAUGAUCAUUGCUUGCACAUGGAUACAAACAAUACUGUGCUUGCUUUGUGCCCCAGUAUUUUAUCUAAAGUUGAUAGGAAGAAUGCUUUUAAUUACUAAAUAUUAAAAUUGUAAAAUGGCAUAGGAUGUAACUGUAACGUAAUAAGCUUUCUCAUGGCUGAAGAGCAUCUAGAGUUUUGUCACAUCAAACAGGAGCAAUUAUUAGCAAAACAACUUCUUCAACUGUAACAACUCGACUGCGGCGACACCGUAUAUAAAUGAUAUAAUAAAGUUACAAUAAUCUUAUCCAUAUCAAAACGCUAACUAACCUAAUCAUUUAUGAUGCAAUGUAAACGCUAUUGCAAUAAGAACCGACCAAACUUAACUUUAACUCAAAUAGGUCACAUGGCUCGAUCCAAUUAGACUCGAAAAGUGACUAUCAGCUGAUUGCUCAUGUGAGCGCACCUCUUUUUUUUAUUUUGCAAACACAAAAUGAAAAACCAGAUAGUUUGAGGCAUAAAACGAAAAAUGAAUGAACCUUUAUUGCUUAAAUAUCCACACUUUUUUCAUCAACUAUUGCAUAACAACAAGAACACAAAAUAUAUAUUAGUUAUACUUUAUGAUAACAAUGCUAGCGUACAUUUUUCUUCAUACUUUUCGGCAUAAUACUUUAAAACGUUUAGCUUAAAAUCAUUUAGUGCAUUUGCGCCCACUUUUGUAUUUUGUAAAUUAA
Molecule: long non-coding RNA, 1008 nt
Organism: Rhagoletis pomonella (apple maggot)
Lineage: Eukaryota; Metazoa; Arthropoda; Insecta; Diptera; Tephritidae
Exons: 2
Source: RefSeq, a predicted model, not a curated record